GACGAACGCUGGCGGCGUGCUUAACACAUGCAAGUCGAACGGAAAGGCCCUGCUUUUGUGGGGUGCUCGAGUGGCGAACGGGUGAGUAACACGUGAGUAACCUGCCCUUGACUUUGGGAUAACUUCAGGAAACUGGGGCUAAUACCGGAUAGGAGCUCCUGCUGCAUGGUGGGGGUUGGAAAGUUUCGGCGGUUGGGGAUGGACUCGCGGCUUAUCAGCUUGUUGGUGGGGUAGUGGCUUACCAAGGCUUUGACGGGUAGCCGGCCUGAGAGGGUGACCGGCCACAUUGGGACUGAGGUACGGCCCAGGCUCCUACGGGAGGGAGCAGGGGGGAAUAUUGCACAAUGGGCGGAAGCCUGAUGCAGCAACGCCGCGUGCGGGAUGACGGCCUUCGGGUUGUAAACCGCUUUCGCCUGUGACGAAGCGUGAGUGACGGUAAUGGGUAAAGAAGCACCGGCUAACUACGU
RNAcentral lists this ribosomal RNA (467 nucleotides) under uncultured bacterium. RNAcentral describes it as "partial 16S ribosomal RNA". It matches the Rfam family "Bacterial small subunit ribosomal RNA", at positions 28 to 506 of the family's 1533-position model. The record is from RNAcentral.